Molecule: ribosomal RNA, 400 nt
Filed under: uncultured bacterium
Lineage: Bacteria
Description: bacterial SSU rRNA
Rfam family: Bacterial small subunit ribosomal RNA
Source: RNAcentral
UGGGGAAUUUUCCGCAAUGGGCGAAAGCCUGACGGAGCAACGCCGCGUGAGGGAGGAAGGUCUUUGGAUUGUAAACCUCUUUUCUCAAGGAAGAAGCCAGUGACGGUACUUGAGGAAUCAGCCUCGGCUAACUCCGUGCCAGCAGCCGCGGUAAUACGGAGGAGGCAAGCGUUAUCCGGAAUUAUUGGGCGUAAAGAGUCCGUAGGUGGCACGUCAAGUCUGCUGUCAAAGCAUGGAGCUUAACUCCAUAUCGGCGGUGGAAACUGAGGAGCUAGAGUCCGGUAGGGGUAGUGGGAAUUCCCAGUGUAGCGGUGAAAUGCGUAGAGAUUGGGAAGAACAUCGGUGGCGAAAGCGCACUACUGGGCCGGAACUGACACUGAGGGACGAAAGCUAGGGGAGC